Molecule: long non-coding RNA, 1400 nt
Organism: Pseudophryne corroboree (corroboree frog)
Lineage: Eukaryota; Metazoa; Chordata; Amphibia; Anura; Myobatrachidae
Exons: 4
Source: RefSeq, a predicted model, not a curated record
CCGCGGAGGGCGCCCCCUGCUGCAGACGUAACGGAACGUUGUUGGUUCUCGUAAGAGGCGUCAUUAAGAUAUAACGGUACGGAACAUAGUGGAGAGUAGAUAGUUAUGAACUAAAAGAGUUAUGGCUAGAACCAAGUUGGAGAAAGGACCUCUGACGUCACCACGGGGCAAUGGGGCGGCCCAGGCGCACUUGCUACACAAAAGACAAGUUUUCCCCCUUUAUAGCUAUUAUGUGGCCAAUGCAGAGUGGGUGAAAAAGAAGACACAACAUUUUCAGAACAUCUACAUGAAGGAGCAGAGGAAGGUGAAGACAUCCAGGAAAUCGGGUGUGGGAGCUGAAGACAUCUAUGUUCCACCUUUGAUACUAUGAGUUGCUGACAUUUACGAUGGACGAGGAUGCACAGAGGGCAUCUUUGAGCUCAUUGGAUGAAGAACUAGGAGAAGAUCAGGAUGAUGAUGUGAGAGACUGUAGCACAAUCACAUGGUAAGCACCACAUCAGAGAAGGGUUCCUGAUACACAGAGGCGCCAACGUGUUUGUCGGGAUGUAGAAGCUGCUGCAUAUUCACAGGAUCAACACAGCAACGCCAGCAGGUACAGGUUCAGGAACACCGGAGUGAAGAGGACCUGGAAAUUAUUUUGGUGCCAGUGGAGGCAUUUCCUGCAGAAGAACAAACAACACAGACAUUCAUUACAGAAAGUCAACCCACUGUCCUGGAAACCCAGCAUAUACAAACCACACCACCACCCCCUACUGCUGACCAACUUGCAAGGUCAUUAGACACUUUUAAGACAAAACAGCUUUAUUUCAUGGCCACCCAAAGCCAACAAAUGCUCCAUAUGCAGGGCCACCUUAAAAAUAUGUGCCAGCAGCUAUGUAAAGCAGCAUACACUGAAAGAGUAGCUGAGGGUACCAGAAUCCGGAUGGCAGCAUCUCUAGAUACUAGGCUAUCUGAAAUUAGUAAUGCACUAAGGGCCCAAACAGAUGCUAUUAGGGCACAAAAUGAAACAGUUGGCACCCAAACAGAUACCAUAAGGUCACAAACAAAUGCAUUAGUGUCCCCACACACACACACCUUACUGCUGAAGGCCAACCAAUAAUUCUGAAUGCACCUUCAACUAUAAGUAGUGUCUCAAGUACACCUAUAAGUACCUCUCCUACUACUCCCCCACGCCGUAGUGUAAGAACAAAGGGUGGGGUCCCAAAAGUAGGCACGUCUGCUUGCAGCAGGUCACAAAGAAAAAAAUAAUGUGCCUCAACAUUUAAGAUUAAGGUUUCUGACUUUUUUGUAUUAUGUUUUUCUAUAUUUGUACUGUUUGAAAUUUGGGACUCAUUGUAAUCUUUGUACCCAUGUUUAUUCACAACAAAUACUUUACAGUAAAAAGUUUUGCAAACCACACA